Molecule: ribosomal RNA, 497 nt
Filed under: uncultured bacterium
Lineage: Bacteria
Description: partial 16S ribosomal RNA
Rfam family: Bacterial small subunit ribosomal RNA
Source: RNAcentral
GAUGAACGCUGGCGGCGUGCCUAAUACAUGCAAGUCGAGCGAACAGAUGAGGAGCUUGCUCCUCUGACGUUAGCGGCGGACGGGUGAGUAACACGUGGAUAACCUACCUAUAAGACUGGGAUAACUUCGGGAAACCGGAGCUAAUACCGGAUAAUAUAUUGAACCGCAUGGUUCAAUAGUGAAAGACGGUUUUGCUGUCACUUAUAGAUGGAUCCGCGCCGCAUUAGCUAGUUGGUAAGGUAACGGCUUACCAAGGCAACGAUGCGUAGCCGACCUGAGAGGGUGAUCGGCCACACUGGAACUGGGACACGGUCCAGACUCCUACGGGAGGCAGCAGUAGGGAAUAUUCCGCAAUGGGCGAAAGCCUGACGGAGCAACGCCGCGUGAGUGAUGAAGGUCUUCGGAUCGUAAAACUCUGUUAUUAGGGAAGAACAAAUGUGUAAGUAACUAUGCACGUCUUGACGGUACCUAAUCAGAAAGCCACGGCUAACUACGUG